This 512-nucleotide ribosomal RNA is filed under the name uncultured bacterium. RNAcentral's name for it is "partial 16S ribosomal RNA". It matches the Rfam family "Bacterial small subunit ribosomal RNA", at positions 28 to 507 of the family's 1533-position model. The record is from RNAcentral.
GAUGAACGCUGGCGGCGUGCCUAAUACAUGCAAGUCGAACGAAACUUCUUUAUCACCGAGUGCUUGCACUCACCGAUAAAGAGUUGAGUGGCGAACGGGUGAGUAACACGUGGGCAACCUGCCCCAAAGAGGGGGAUAACACUUGGAAACAGGUGCUAAUACCGCAUAACCAUAGUUACCGCAUGGUAACUAUGUAAAAGGUUGCUAUACUACCGCUUUUGGAUGGGCCCGCGGCUCAUUAGCUAGUUGGUAGGGUAAAGGCUUACCAAGGCAAUGAUGCGUAGCCGAAUUGAGAGGUUGAUCGGCCACAUUGGGACUGAGACACGGCCCAAACUCCUACGGGAGGCAGCAGUAGGGAAUCUUCCACAAUGGGCGAAAGCCUGAUGGAGCAACGCCGCGUGGGUGAAGAAGGUCUUCGGAUCGUAAAACCCUGUUGUUAGAGAAGAAAGUGCGUGAGAGUAACUGUUCACGUUUCGACGGUAUCUAACCAGAAAGCCACGGCUAACUACGUG